This 104-nucleotide small nuclear RNA is filed under the name Notamacropus eugenii (tammar wallaby). The record is from RNAcentral. Lineage: Eukaryota; Metazoa; Chordata; Mammalia; Diprotodontia; Macropodidae.
UUGUUGUUUAGGCAGCAUGUAUACUAAAAUUGGAAAGAUAUAGAGAAAACUAGCAUGGUCCCUGUGCAACAAUGACACAAAUUUGUGAAGCAUUUCAUAUUUUU